Molecule: ribosomal RNA, 467 nt
Filed under: uncultured bacterium
Lineage: Bacteria
Description: partial 16S ribosomal RNA
Rfam family: Bacterial small subunit ribosomal RNA
Source: RNAcentral
GAUGAACGCUGGCGGCGUGCUUAACACAUGCAAGUCGAACGGAAAGGCCUCUGCUUGCAGGGGUACUCGAGUGGCGAACGGGUGAGUAACACGUGGGUGAUCUGCCCUGCACUUCGGGAUAAGCCUGGGAAACUGGGUCUAAUACCGGAUAGGACAAUGGUUUGGAUGCUGUUGUGGAAAGUUUUUCGGUGUGGGAUGAGCUCGCGGCCUAUCAGCUUGUUGGUGGGGUAAUGGCCUACCAAGGCGUCGACGGGUAGCCGGCCUGAGAGGGUGUACGGCCACAUUGGGACGGAGAUACGGCCCAGACUCCUACGGGAGGCAGCAGUGGGGAAUAUUGCACAAUGGGCGCAAGCCUGAUGCAGCGACGCCGCGUGGGGGAUGACGGCCUUCGGGUUGUAAACUCCUUUCGCUAGGGACGAAGCGUUUUUGUGACGGUACCUGGAGAAGAAGCACCGGCUAACUACGUG